GUGCGCCAUCCAGCUCCCAUGCCGCCCUCUGUUCAGCUCGAUUCAGCCAUCACAGGCCACUAUCCGACCACCUCCGGCCACCGUGGGCCACCGCUCGGCCUCGCCAAGCCGCCACCUACCUUCCCGACCCCUUGCCGCCCCCAACCAACUCACUUCCUCUCUGUUUUGCAGCCAAACCAGCAACCCACCAAGUGGGUUUCCAGCACACUCGUGGGUGGUUUUGUGCCGUUUCCGGGCUCCGAACCCGAGCCGUGCUUUGGGAAGAAUCGUUCCUCAUGUCGUCCCC
Molecule: long non-coding RNA, 286 nt
Filed under: Eucalyptus grandis
Lineage: Eukaryota; Viridiplantae; Streptophyta; Magnoliopsida; Myrtales; Myrtaceae
Description: long non-coding RNA (EGRA_LNC000321)
Source: RNAcentral